AACGAACGCUGGCGGCAUGCCUAACACAUGCAAGUCGAACGAGACCUUCGGGUCUAGUGGCGCACGGGUGCGUAACGCGUGGGAACCUGCCUUUAGGUUCGGAAUAACUCAGAGAAAUUUGAGCUAAUACCGGAUAAUGUCUUCGGACCAAAGAUUUAUCGCCUUUAGAUGGGCCCGCGUUGGAUUAGCUAGUUGGUGGGGUAAAGGCCUACCAAGGCGACGAUCCAUAGCUGGUCUGAGAGGAUGAUCAGCCACACUGGGACUGAGACACGGCCCAGACUCCUACGGGAGGCAGCAGUGGGGAAUAUUGGACAAUGGGCGAAAGCCUGAUCCAGCAAUGCCGCGUGAGUGAUGAAGGCCUUAGGGUUGUAAAGCUCUUUUACCAGGGAUGAUAAUGACAGUACCUGGAGAAUAAGCUCCGGCUAACUCCGUGCCAGCCGCCGCGGUAA
Molecule: ribosomal RNA, 449 nt
Filed under: uncultured bacterium
Lineage: Bacteria
Description: partial 16S ribosomal RNA
Rfam family: Bacterial small subunit ribosomal RNA
Source: RNAcentral